Molecule: ribosomal RNA, 274 nt
Filed under: uncultured bacterium
Lineage: Bacteria
Description: partial 16S ribosomal RNA
Rfam family: Bacterial small subunit ribosomal RNA
Source: RNAcentral
AUACGGAGGGUGCGAGCGUUGUUCGGAAUUAUUGGGCGUAAAGCGCGUGUAGGCGGUCUGUUAAGUCUGGUGUGAAAGCCCUGGGCUCAACCCAGGAAGUGCAUUGGAUACUGGCAGACUUGAGUAUGGGAGAGGAAAGCGGAAUUCCGAGUGUAGGAGUGAAAUCCGUAGAUAUUCGGAGGAACACCAGUGGCGAAGGCGGCUUUCUGGACCAAUACUGACGCUGAGACGCGAAAGCGUGGGGAGCAAACAGGAUUAGAUACCCUAGUAGUCC